Molecule: ribosomal RNA, 301 nt
Filed under: uncultured bacterium
Lineage: Bacteria
Description: partial 16S ribosomal RNA
Rfam family: Bacterial small subunit ribosomal RNA
Source: RNAcentral
CAGUCGCCGCGGUAAUACAGAGGGUGCGAGCGUUAAUCGGAUUUACUGGGCGUAAAGCGUGCGUAGGCGGCUUCUUAAGUCGGAUGUGAAAUCCCUGAGCUUAACUUAGGAAUUGCAUUCGAUACUGGGAAGCUAGAGUAUGGGAGAGGAUGGUAGAAUUCCAGGUGUAGCGGUGAAAUGCGUAGAGAUCUGGAGGAAUACCGAUGGCGAAGGCAGCCAUCUGGCCUAAUACUGACGCUGAGGUACGAAAGUAUGGGGAGCAAACAGGAUUAGAUACCCCAGUAGUCCCUGUCUCUUAUAC